GUACAGGAAUAGCUCGGUUGGCAGAGCAUGAUGCUCUUAAUCUCAGGGUUGCGGGUUCGAGUUCCGCGUUGGACA
Molecule: non-coding RNA, 75 nt
Organism: Podarcis lilfordi (Lilford's wall lizard)
Lineage: Eukaryota; Metazoa; Chordata; Lepidosauria; Squamata; Lacertidae
Source: the annotation of a GenBank genome assembly